AUUUAUAUAGUUUAAUAUAAAACAUUACAUUUUCAUUGUAAAAAUAAAAAAAAUUUUUUAUAAAUA
Molecule: transfer RNA, 66 nt
Filed under: Ostrinia furnacalis (Asian corn borer)
Lineage: Eukaryota; Metazoa; Arthropoda; Insecta; Lepidoptera; Crambidae
Also listed under: 2 other names
Description: tRNA-Glu
Source: RNAcentral